UAAAAGAUAAGCUAAGAAAGCUAAUAGGUUCAUACCCUGUCCAUGAAAUAAAAAUUUCUCUUUUAA
RNAcentral lists this transfer RNA (66 nucleotides) under Tenebrionoidea sp. 24 KM-2017. RNAcentral describes it as "tRNA-Met". The record is from RNAcentral. Lineage: Eukaryota; Metazoa; Arthropoda; Insecta; Coleoptera.